GUCCAGCCAUUAACAUUUAUCCAGAAAUACAGUGAAUCACAAGAAGAGUGGCUCACAGAAUUUGCAUUUCAGGGAAGUGUACUAAAUUUGAAAAACUAUCCGUCACAUCCAGAUUCCUUCAAGGAGGAGAAAAAUUGGUCGUUAAAUUGGACAAAUCAAACACAGGCUACAACAGCUGGAUGAAUUUUAAGAGCAUGUGAGUGAACACAAGGUACUUUUGAGUUUUGAUGGUUAUGACUUUGUCUCAUGAGUUACACAAAUUAGUCAUGAACUCCAACAGGCCUGGGAUUUAGAUCAAAGAGUCAAAGCCCUAAAAACUAAUUCAGUGCUCUAUUAUUCUGUUUUAAACUCACCCCUUUGCUUUUUAUCUGAGCAAAUUUGUCCUCAUUACAUAUAUUCUUCAUAAUUUUGGUUAACUGGUUGUUUGAAGGCAUUGCUGAUAAAGUUAUUAGGCUUGUUGGUUUAGGAAAUUGGAUACAUCUACACUGGUUUCUCCCAGUAUUGGCAGUGAGAAAAUGUCUGGGAAACCACUAAGGGCAAGAUCAACAACUGUGAAGGAAUGGAUCAAGGCGUUGGCCCAUCAUCUAUGGCAUGUCAUUUCCCCGGUUGGGACCAUCACCUUGCUCGAGUACGAGGCCUCUUGUGGAAUAUCGUCAAAUCUCUGCCAAUGAGCCAUCUCCUUCCUAUUCAUCAACAUGUACUUCGUUGAGAGACUUGGAGAGUUGGAAAAUUGUAGCCUCUGGCAUUAGGCCAUUUUUGUCGCGAUGCAUUUGAUUUCGUCACCAUCUUUUGCGUUUGUCGCGUAGCGUUUGUGGAAGACAUCCUCGGCCGUCAUAUCGGACAAGAAAAACACGAGCAGUGCGAGCGUUUCCUCGUCGAAAAACUUUGCGUUCCGUCUCAGUGGAUUGAUAAAUGUCGGGCAGUUAAGGCGCUCUAUGCGUUUCAUCCGAAACUUCAGGCCACGUCCCUGCUUGCCGACCUUGAACUUUACAGCCAAGCACACGACGUAAUUUGUGAUGAACUUGCUCCGGAAGCUAUCCUGUCUGAAACCUAUCUGGAGUUAGAGGAACUCUUGGCUCUCUUGGCUGACCCGGAACGAUUCAGUACGAUUGCCGAUUGGUACCCAAUAGGGGCAAAGUUCAUUGGAAUUAUAUCGCAGUCGUAAAACACGUAGAUGGAAUUUAAAAGCAGGAUAAUUCCAGUGAAAAGGAAAUGCAGCUAUAGAAUCUCUGCAAGUUGGUGUCCUCUCUUCUCGUAUUCUCCACCAAGCAUAGGCUUGUUCGCGCGGAAAUAGCCCAGAAAGCGGCUUAAAUUUUUAAAAACAUUAUUGGACUCCAGUUAAAUCGGUCAGCGCAUCAGAGGAAAUUGUAGUUCACCCUCGUUCUGUCCUAAUUUCAUAACUCCGUCAGCUUCAUGCGACGCAGGAUUACUCGCUCUAAGAGCUUAACAACGUUGUUCGUGCGUACUUUCUCGAAAGUUUUGAAUGUUCAAAAGGUGCCAAGUUAAAAAGAUCCUGUAUUUUUUUCUUUUAUUUUAAAAUUGUCCUCGGGAUCGACUGUGAAUUUGCGUCUUAUACUCUUAUGUAAACUAAACAUUACUAACCCAAAUCUAGAGCAAAUGUCAUAGGUAACACUUCAACCCUCGCCUUAUCGUGUCAUAGUGGAUGUAUUAAAAAAGGACUGAAUAACGCGUGAAUAAAACUGUUAAUUUUA
This 1712-nucleotide long non-coding RNA is filed under the name Daphnia pulicaria. RNAcentral describes it as "uncharacterized LOC124313564, transcript variant X1". Lineage: Eukaryota; Metazoa; Arthropoda; Branchiopoda; Diplostraca; Daphniidae. The record is from RNAcentral.